This is a non-coding RNA of Mustela putorius furo (domestic ferret), 91 nucleotides long. The record is from Rfam. Lineage: Eukaryota; Metazoa; Chordata; Mammalia; Carnivora; Mustelidae.
GCCUCUCUCUAUCACCCUGGUCACACCAGAUCUCAUCUGACCUCAGAAGCUAAGCAGGGUCAGACCUGGUUAGUUACUAGGAUGGGAGACC